Mus pahari (shrew mouse) is the source of this 468-nucleotide non-coding RNA. The record is from the annotation of a RefSeq genome assembly. Lineage: Eukaryota; Metazoa; Chordata; Mammalia; Rodentia; Muridae.
UUUUUUUCCUGUUCUGGCCCGUCCAUGGAUCCUAGACUUCUUUGCUGUGUGAUCUUCUGUCUUCUUGCAGUCACUUUUGUGGAUACUAUGGUUAAGCAGAACCCAAGAUACAAGGUUGCUAGAGUUGGAAAACCAGUGAAUUUGAUCUGUUCUCAGACUAUGAAUCAUGAUACCAUGCUCUGGUACCAAAAGAAACCAAACCAAGCACCAAAGCUGCUGCUUUACUACUAUGAUGAGAAUUUGAACAGGGAGGCUGACACUUCUGAGAACCUCCAAUCCAGCCGGCCUAACAAUUCUUUCUGCUCUCUCGACAUUGGCUCUGCAAGCCUAGAGGAUUCUGCCAUGUACCUCUGUGCUACCAGUAGAGACACAGGGCUACAAUAUCACCUACCCUCUGUUCAUAAACUUUUUCUUUUCACAGACCCCAGGAUUUUCUCUAGAAUCACCCCUCUUUUCUUGAAACUGUAG